Molecule: long non-coding RNA, 1368 nt
Filed under: Cricetulus griseus (Chinese hamster)
Lineage: Eukaryota; Metazoa; Chordata; Mammalia; Rodentia; Cricetidae
Description: lncRNA (ENSCGRG00015037763.1)
Source: RNAcentral
CCAGGAUGCUGACACUCACCAGCCAACAAGACAUUUUGGUCCCAAUUUUGACUAACGUGAGCCACCAGCUCCUAGGGUCCUGCUGAUGGGAGGAAAAGCCAAAGCCCCAUCUAAAAUAUAAGCCACGGGAACCCUGUAAAAAGAGACACUUCUACCCUCAGACCAAAGGAGUCCCAUCUUCAUCAGCAAAGAGCAGGCCUUUUACCGGUUGAAAAUAAUUGGAGUUUGAUUCCCUUCAUCCCGAGUCAGCAGCCCGGAACCUGCCUGCAGGCCGCCAUGUUCUCUGCCAUGAGGAUAAUGGACUGAACCUCUGAAACUGUAAGUGAGCCACCCCAAUUAAAUGUCUCCUUUACAAGAUUUGUCGUGGUCAUGGUGGCUCCUCAAAGCAAUGAGAACCCUAACUAGGACACCGUGCCCAUCUGCCUGCUGCUUUGUUUUACAUCAUGAUGGUCACAGCCUCUAACCCUCUGGAUCUGUGCCAGCAAGCGAUUUAACCCAGAGCCAUUUAAUGUACCCUAGGCAAGCACCUUACCACUUAGCUACAUCUUUGGCCAUUUUAAUUGUUUUUUUAUUUGGACACAGAACCUCCAAUAAGCCAAGCUAGCCUCAAACUCACUAUGCAACCCAGGCAGGCCUUGAAUUUAUAAUCCUCCUGCUUCGACCUCAUGAGUAGCCGGGAUUCCAGGCAUACACCGCCACACCUAGUCCCACCAAGACUUUUAUGAACUUAAGGCUAAUGAGAAAGAAAAGCCUGUUAAUGAAAUGUAUCUAUUCUGAUGUAUAUACCCAUGAACACACAUCUGUGAGGAUGUAUGUACAACAAGAAUGCACAACAAUGAAGGAGCAGUGUUUCCAGGUGUUGCUGUAGUACACUGAGAUGCUCUUAAGACUGAUUUCAUGGGACUUCCUGGGGACCUUUUCUUUAUCAGAAUUAGGAAUCAUUAGGAUCAUAUUGAACAAAGCAACUGAGAGGUGCCAGGCCUCAGAAAUGCAUUCCAAGGUGCUGUCAUGAAAAUGCAGAACUGCCUGAGGUCUGAGGCAGGGGCUGUAGAGAUGGAAUCAUUACUCACGGGAGGGGCUAAGUGACCUCCGAAGACAGAGAAGGGAGAAGGGUGUGUUCAGCCCAGCAAUCCCGACAGACACACGAAAACCUGAACCCUUAGCACGUUUUGCACAACUUUUCAAAGCCAAGUUGAGGAAUGAACAUCAUGAAUUGAAAAAUAGAAAUGAAGAAAAGUGAAAUAAAUCUUCGAGGGUCAGCUGAGAAAACACACACAUUUUAAUGGGAUGUUUUCAAACUAUUGUAACGUAACAGUUUCGGAAUCUGACUCUAUUAUUAUAAAGGGGUGAACCAUACUGCUCAUGCUU